This 256-nucleotide ribosomal RNA is filed under the name uncultured bacterium. Its description in RNAcentral is "partial 16S ribosomal RNA". It matches the Rfam family "Bacterial small subunit ribosomal RNA", at positions 524 to 776 of the family's 1533-position model. The record is from RNAcentral.
UACAGAGGUCUCAAGCGUUGUUCGGAUUCAUUGGGCGUAAAGGGGUGCGUAGGUGGCGCCGUAAGUCAGGUGUGAAAUUUCGGAGCUUAACUCCGAAACUGCAUUUGAUACUGCGGUGCUUGAGGACUGGGAGAGGAGACUGGAAUUUACGGUGUAGCAGUGAAAUGCGUAGAGAUCGUAAGGAAGACCAGUGGCGAAGGCGGGUCUCGUGGACAGUUCCUGACACUGAGGCACGAAGGCCAGGGGAGCAAACGGG